AUACUUACCUGGCAGGGGAGAUACCAUGAUCACGAAGGUGGUUUUCCCAGGGCGAGGCUUAUCCAUUGCACUCCGGAUGUGCUGACCCCUGCGAUUUCCCCAAAUGCGGGAAACUCGACUGCAUAAUUUGUGGUAGUGGGGGACUGCGUUUGCGCUCUCCCCUG
RNAcentral lists this small nuclear RNA (164 nucleotides) under Microtus ochrogaster (prairie vole). RNAcentral describes it as "U1 spliceosomal RNA (ENSMOCG00000003887.1)". It matches the Rfam family "U1 spliceosomal RNA". Rfam says of the family: U1 is a small nuclear RNA (snRNA) component of the spliceosome (involved in pre-mRNA splicing). Its 5' end forms complementary base pairs with the 5' splice junction, thus defining the 5' donor site of an intron. Lineage: Eukaryota; Metazoa; Chordata; Mammalia; Rodentia; Cricetidae. The record is from RNAcentral.